Molecule: long non-coding RNA, 332 nt
Organism: Gossypium raimondii (Peruvian cotton)
Lineage: Eukaryota; Viridiplantae; Streptophyta; Magnoliopsida; Malvales; Malvaceae
Exons: 3
Source: RefSeq, a predicted model, not a curated record
GGGGAAGCCAUAGUUAGGGUUUUCAAGCUUCCAAGCUCCAUAAUCAAGAAGUACGAAACUCGAGGUUAGACAAAGGGAAGAAUAAAGUUGAAGACUAAGUUGGUGAAUUUGGCUAUAAUUGGUACCGAGUAUUGCAAAGCUACUUCAAGGAUCCUAAAGAAGUCGGAGAUCGUCCACACUAUCAACCACAACUGCUCGGUAUUUUAUAUCGAAUCACGUUUGAGUUAUGGCAUGUAUAGGGAUUUAGUUAUUUUGUAUGUUUGUGAUUAUGAUUUUGCUAAAGAAUGGUGUGUAAGUAUUUGAUGAUGUAUGGUUAUUAAAAUGGUUAAGUA